Molecule: non-coding RNA, 204 nt
Organism: Vicia faba (fava bean)
Lineage: Eukaryota; Viridiplantae; Streptophyta; Magnoliopsida; Fabales; Fabaceae
Source: the annotation of a GenBank genome assembly
AUGGUGUGUCUCUUGUUAUUUUUCUUUUGGGUUCCUAGAUCUCUAUCUGUACCUAGUUUUUGCAUUUUCCUACCUUCUAGCCUUUUUUAUUUAGGUUCUGUUUCUUCUUUUUGUUCCCUCACUUUACUUUACUUUUUUUUUAAUCUUUAUUUUCUUAGAAUUAUAUGUUUAUUGUUCAAAAGUUUGUAUUUUGAGGUAGAAUGA